CUAUAAUGGAGAGUUUGAUCCUGGCUCAGGACGAACGCUGGCGGCGUGCCUAAUACAUGCAAGUCGAGCGGAACCAGAGGAGCUUGCUCCUUCUGGUUUAGCGGCGGACGGGUGAGUAACACGUGGGCAACCUGCCCUGCAGAUCGGGAUAACUCCGGGAAACCGGUGCUAAUACCGAAUAGUUUUGGGUCCCUCCUGGGACCCAACGGAAAGACGGUUUCGGCUGUCACUGCAGGAUGGGCCCGCGGCGCAUUAGCUA
This 259-nucleotide ribosomal RNA is filed under the name Planococcus glaciei. Its description in RNAcentral is "Planomicrobium glaciei 16S rRNA. Bacterial SSU". It matches the Rfam family "Bacterial small subunit ribosomal RNA", at positions 1 to 247 of the family's 1533-position model. The record is from RNAcentral. Lineage: Bacteria; Bacillati; Bacillota; Bacilli; Caryophanales; Caryophanaceae.